This 460-nucleotide long non-coding RNA is filed under the name Triticum aestivum (bread wheat). RNAcentral's name for it is "long non-coding RNA (TAES_LNC025275)". The record is from RNAcentral. Lineage: Eukaryota; Viridiplantae; Streptophyta; Magnoliopsida; Poales; Poaceae.
UAAAAGCGUUUAGAUCACUAUUUAGACAUAUGAUACUGGUGCUCAAGAAAUAAUACCCUCCUCACCGAAAAAUCUGCCACUCAAUAUACAUAGUAUUACAACAGUACAGCUUCGUAUGCAGAGAAAUAUAUUACAUCAAAAGUCGUCAUCACUUGAAACAUAAUGUGAUGACAAAUCUUCGAGGAUACGAUGACUAAGGAGGGAACUUCAGAUUUGCAUGAUACUUCACUCUUAAAAUAUCUCAAGCAUGGAUGAGCUGAAGCUGCAGCAUUUUACCUCUUGAUAAAGCAUACACUCUUAAUAAUAUGAUGAUGUAAUCAUAUUUCUCCACGGUAACCUCCACCGCCGUAGUAAUCUCUUCUGGAGCCAGCGAUCGCCACGGACUUCUGGUGCUCCAGCUUUGGACAGUCAGCAAGACGAUGCCCAAGGCCACCACAGAAUGCACAUCCUUUGACACCAC